This 582-nucleotide ribosomal RNA is filed under the name Papiliotrema laurentii. RNAcentral describes it as "partial large subunit ribosomal RNA". It matches the Rfam family "Eukaryotic large subunit ribosomal RNA", at positions 97 to 668 of the family's 3401-position model. Lineage: Eukaryota; Fungi; Basidiomycota; Tremellomycetes; Tremellales; Rhynchogastremaceae. The record is from RNAcentral.
ACCGGGAAGAGCUCAAAUUUGAAAUCUGGCGUCCUCAGGGCGUCCGAGUUGUAAUCUAUAGAGGCGUUUUCCGUGCCGGACCGUGUCCAAGUUCCUUGGAACAGGAUAUCAAAGAGGGUGACAAUCCCGUACUUGACACGACGACCGGUGCUCUGUGAUACGUCUUCUACGAGUCGAGUUGUUUGGGAAUGCAGCUCAAAAUGGGUGGUGAGUUCCAUCUAAAGCUAAAUAUUGGCGAGAGACCGAUAGCGAACAAGUACCGUGAGGGAAAGAUGAAAAGCACUUUGGAAAGAGAGUUAAACAGUACGUGAAAUUGUUGAAAGGGAAACGAUUGAAGUCAGUCGUGACCGAGAGGCUCAGCCGGUUCUGCCGGUGUAUUCCCCUCGGUCGGGUCAACAUCAGUUUUGUCCGGUGGAUAAGGGCGGUAGGAAGGUGGCACCCUCGGGUGUGUUAUAGCCUGCCGUCGCAUACAUCGGGUGAGACUGAGGAACGCAGCUCGCCUUUAUGGCCGGGGUUCGCCCACGUCCGAGCUUAGGAUGUUGACAUAAUGGCUUUAAACGACCCGUCUUGAAACACGGACCA